RNAcentral lists this ribosomal RNA (460 nucleotides) under uncultured bacterium. Its description in RNAcentral is "partial 16S ribosomal RNA". It matches the Rfam family "Bacterial small subunit ribosomal RNA", at positions 338 to 795 of the family's 1533-position model. The record is from RNAcentral.
CCUACGGGAGGCAGCAGUGAGGAAUAUUGGUCAAUGGACGAGAGUCUGAACCAGCCAAGUAGCGUGAAGGAUGACUGCCCUAUGGGUUGUAAACUUCUUUUAUAAAGGAAUAAAACGAGGCACGUGUGCCUUUUUGCAUGUACUUUAUGAAUAAGGAUCGGCUAACUCCGUGCCAGCAGCCGCGGUAAUACGGAGGAUCCGAGCGUUAUCCGGAUUUAUUGGGUUUAAAGGGAGCGUAGAUGGGUUGUUAAGUCAGUUGUGAAAGUCUGCGGCUCAACCGUAAAAGUGCAAUUGAUACUGGCAGGCUGGAGUACAGAUGAGGUAGGCGGAAUUCGUGGUGUAGCGGUGAAAUGCUUAGAUAUCACGAAGAACACCGAUUGCGAAGACAGCUUACUAAACUGUGACUGACAUUGAUGCACGAAAGUGUGGGUAUCAAACAGGAUUAGAUACCCGAGUAGUC